Molecule: ribosomal RNA, 140 nt
Filed under: uncultured eukaryote
Lineage: Eukaryota
Description: partial 18S ribosomal RNA
Rfam family: Eukaryotic small subunit ribosomal RNA
Source: RNAcentral
UGGUGGAUUGAUUUGUCAGGUUGAUUCCGACAACGAACGAGAUCCAAGCUUUCUAGUUCUGGGUUCCCUUCAUCUGUUGGGGGUCUCCUAGGUUAGAAGGACGGUGUUGGCUUACAACAAUGAAGGGUUGGGCGAUAACA